GGAAGUGCCUCGCGACGCGGGGCCGCCACCGCCGCCGGGCCGAGGGAGGGCCCGGCAACCGCCGCCUGCGCGCCGGCUGCCCCUCGGCUCCUGGGAGCCGCGGCGCUACGGGCCUGCCGAGCACUCGGGCGGGCGCCGAGCAGGCUGGGCCCCGGCGCAGUGGCCUAGCCUGGACCGCAAGGCCGAAGCCGCCUCCGGGCCGCGUCCCGGUGUUUCGGGUUGUGUAACCUUGGCCAAAAUGCUUAAGCUUUUUUCCUGGCUGCCAAAUGGGGCCGAUCGUCUGACCUGCUGCCUCCGGAACUUGAGGGAUCAGAUCAAAUAACCCUUUCCUGGCGCUCGUCUGCCGCUGUGAAUGAAUCACGGGCUCCUGUAAUCACCGUUAGGAGAGAUUGUUAAACUCGUACAGGGUUGGAUGUUUUAAAGUUACUGAAUAUUUACUGGACCCCUACUGUUCAAUCAAGACAUGCUAAGUUAGCUUGCCAUUCUUGUUCAUUUAUGUGUUUACUUAACUAUUUCUGGGUCUCCUCUUCCCAGUCAUAAAUAUCUCUUGGAGUGUAAGCUCCUCGGAGCAGAGAUCCUGUUUCCGUAUUUCCUGUACCUAGAACAGUGCCAGAUCCGUAGUAGACACUGAAACAAAAAAUCUUUAAAAAAAAAAAAAUAUACGAAUGUGGCACCACCAUUUACACAGGCCACUAAGCCAAAAAUCUCGAACUUGUCAGAUUGUCUCUUCUCAGCCAUCAGCAGUCAACAAGUUCUAGCAUUUGGUCUCUUAAAAGUGGUUCAAGAGUUUAUUUUUCCUCUCCUUCCUCUGCCAGUACCAACCAGUCUUCCGUAUCACUAUGUAUUGCAAGAGUCUCACAAGAAGAUAUCCAUCACUGACUGAUCUUCCUCCCGUUUAACAUCCCCAACAGGUGCCAGGGUGAUGUUUUUUUUAUUCUAAAAAGAAACCAGAUUAUAUCGCUCACUCCCUUGCUUAAAACAGUUCUUCAAUGUUAGGUAAAUAAAUCAUGGAGUCACCACGAGGGCGUUCAUCUGCCAGGCACUAUUCUGAACGAUAUUGGCUCAUUAAAUUCUCACAGAAACCCUAUGCAGCAGGUACGGUGAAAAUGUUCCUGUUACAGAUGAGGUAACUGAAGCACAGAGAGCUUGAGUGGCUUGCUGAAACACCAGACCCACUCAGUCUGGCUCCAUAAUAGGUCUUUUUGCUGGUAAUGAUUUACCAACUAUACAGCCACUUUAAAAAAAGGAAAUAGGGCCCUUGUGACUGGACCUCAUGCCAAACAACUCGUUACAAAAAGAGCUAGGGUUCCAGACUGCGCCGAAGCUUCAUGAGACCUCUCCUUGUCUGCAUGGACGAGUGGCCAACUCUGGAGCCCAGGCUGUUGCUUCCCAGUCUGGUGGUGAAUCCUCCAUAGUCUGGUGAGUGUAAAUACAUAUAUAUAUCUUUUCCCUUCUCCCUUCCCAUUGCAAUUUGCUUAUUAUAUCAUUUGCUUAUAUCUGCACUGCCAUUUGGGAUAAAGCUUGUUUACCCUUAAAGGUAUUGUGUGUGUGUCUCCUCCCGCGCGCAUUUCCCACACAGAACACCUAAGAACCUAUUUUUUAUGAUUUUUACGAGAAGUGAAUUCCAAGUUGUGCCUCAGAAUUCAGAAUAUAUCUUUCAACCUCCUACUCAUCCCCUCACCACCCUGGUGAACACAGUGUCUGGCCAGCAGGAAUGAAUGAAGAAGACUAUUUUAUGUUCUUAAUAACUUGCUUGGAAAUGAACAGAGCACAAUUUAUCAAACCAAAGCAAAUAUUUAUACAGGCAGAUCCCUUAAAAUUGAGGAUUAAUGCUUAGGAAGAAUUUUUUAGAAUUUUCCAAAUUAACCACUUGUCUUUCUCAGAAAUAAAUCUGUUACUGAUGCUUCCUCCACCAACCAGCUGCAAAACCACACACUAUUCUUUGAAGGAGGAACACAGAAAACCAACUUACUUCCUGGGGCAUUUGGGAGAGGAAUCUAAAAAUCCUAGUGAUAUGGCAAUGACUAGAACCUUUUUUUUUUUUGUAACAACAAAGCUAAAAGGGGAUGUGUAACUUAGCUUGACUUGUAAAAAUAUUCGUAGAAGUCAUCUAUAUUUUACCACUUUGUGUAACUAAGGCAGAGCAUUAGAGAUUAUUCACAUCAUUAAAUAUGUCCAGUUAAAUUAUUAGAUUACAACACCAACCUCUUGUUCAUAGUCUCUCAGUCUUCAGCUGGGCACGGGGGCUCACGCCUGUAAUGCCACCACUUUGGGAUGCCGAGACGGGCGGAUCACUUGAGGUCAGGAGUUUGAGACCAACCUGGGCAACAUGGUGAAACCCCGUCUCUACUAAAAAUACAAAAAUUAGCUAGGCGUGGUGGCAGGUGCCUAUAAUCCCAGCCACUCGGGAGGCUGAGGCGGGAGAAUCACUGGAACCCAAGAGGUGGAAAUUGCAGUAAGCCAAGAUGGCACCACUGCACUCCAGCCUGGGUGACAAGAGCAAAACUCUUGUCUCAAAAAAAAAAAAAAAAAAAUAGUCUCUCAGUCUUCAUACUUUGUUGCUUAGUUGGAUUAUCUGCUCCUAGGUUUUAAUAUAAGAUGAAAUAAAAGUGCUGGCCUAGGAAUUGGAGGCCAAUUUACCUUAGGGGCAAAGGCAAUGGUGGUGAAUAUACCCAACAGCUUCACUUUCUAUGGAGCCAGCUUGUAAAAUCUUGGGCAAGGAUGGUGGCAGCAGAGCUGUCUGCCUAAGCAUCAUGUAGAAAAUUUUUUAAUGGUUUCUUUGGACCCUAGCUUGCAGUGUCAUUUCUGCUUCUCAUUGUAUUGGAAAUCCAUGGUUUUGUUACAUAAUGUACUCCUAAAAAUGUAUACACAUGUGUUGAGUAUGUGGAAGUUGAAUAUAUUUAUGUUAUAAAUGAGCAGUUCUGUUUCUGGAAAAUGAAAAUUUUCACCUCAUCACUACAGACAUUCUUUGAUAACACAGUCCCAGUGUUUCAUCCAGAUUAUUUCAUUUUCUUCUUUUACAUAUAACCAACCAUUUUGGAUGUUAAAGGAACAACCAGUGAGGGCUUAAGAUCUGCUGCUUUUGACUUGGCACUCCUGAUCAGUUCCAUCCGUGUCUCAAGUGUAUCACAUUCACGAGACAAGGCUUCUCAUCAGCAAUUUCAAUUUUAUGUUUUCUACUUAUUUUUAUAUAAGAAUACAAUGCAACAAAAUAUUCAUAUAUUGCAC
Molecule: long non-coding RNA, 3228 nt
Filed under: Homo sapiens (human)
Lineage: Eukaryota; Metazoa; Chordata; Mammalia; Primates; Hominidae
Description: non-protein coding lnc-LCOR-4:2
Source: RNAcentral